GGCGCUAUGGCCGAGUGGUUAAGGCGACAGAUUCGAACCUUGCGGCCUCUCAGAGCUUCGUACCUUAUCUGUUCCGGUUUCCGGGCGCAGGUUCAAGUCCUGCUGGCGUCG
This is a non-coding RNA of Mycena polygramma, 111 nucleotides long. NCBI's taxonomy places the organism in Eukaryota, Fungi, Basidiomycota, Agaricomycetes, Agaricales, Mycenaceae. The record is from the annotation of a GenBank genome assembly.